RNAcentral lists this ribosomal RNA (1389 nucleotides) under Bacillus sp. (in: firmicutes). RNAcentral describes it as "bacterial SSU rRNA". It matches the Rfam family "Bacterial small subunit ribosomal RNA", at positions 66 to 1438 of the family's 1533-position model. Lineage: Bacteria; Bacillati; Bacillota; Bacilli; Caryophanales; Bacillaceae. The record is from RNAcentral.
GCGGACAGAUGGGAGCUUGCUCCCUGAUGUUAGCGGCGGACGGGUGAGUAACACGUGGGUAACCUGCCUGUAAGACUGGGAUAACUCCGGGAAACCGGGGCUAAUACCGGAUGGUUGUUUGAACCGCAUGGUUCAAACAUAAAAGGUGGCUUCGGCUACCACUUACAGAUGGACCCGCGGCGCAUUAGCUAGUUGGUGAGGUAACGGCUCACCAAGGCAACGAUGCGUAGCCGACCUGAGAGGGUGAUCGGCCACACUGGGACUGAGACACGGCCCAGACUCCUACGGGAGGCAGCAGUAGGGAAUCUUCCGCAAUGGACGAAAAUCUGACGGAGCAACGCCGCGUGAGUGAUGAAGGUUUUCGGAUCGUAAAGCUCUGUUGUUAGGGAAGAACAAGUACCGUUCGAAUAGGGCCGUACCUUGACGGUACCUAACCAGAAAGCCACGGCUAACUACGUGCCAGCAGCCGCGGUAAUACGUAGGUGGCAAGCGUUGUCCGGAAUUAUUGGGCGUAAAGGGCUCGCAGGCGGUUUCUUAAGUCUGAUGUGAAAGCCCCCGGCUCAACCGGGGAGGGUCAUUGGAAACUGGGGAACUUGAGUGCAGAAGAGGAGAGUGGAAUUCCACGUGUAGCGGUGAAAUGCGUAGAGAUGUGGAGGAACACCAGUGGCGAAGGCGACUCUCUGGUCUGUAACUGACGCUGAGGAGCGAAAGCGUGGGGAGCGAACAGGAUUAGAUACCCUGGUAGUCCACGCCGUAAACGAUGAGUGCUAAGUGUUAGGGGGUUUCCGCCCCUUAGUGCUGCAGCUAACGCAUUAAGCACUCCGCCUGGGGAGUACGGUCGCAAGACUGAAACUCAAAGGAAUUGACGGAGGCCCGCACAAGCGGUGGAACAUGUGGUUUAAUUCGAAGCAACGCGAAGAACCUUACCAGGUCUUGACAUCCUCUGACAAUCCUAGAGAUAGGACGUCCCCUUCGGGGGCAGAGUGACAGGUGGUGCAUGGUUGUCGUCAGCUCGUGUCGUGAGAUGUUGGGUUAAGUCCCGCAACGAGCGCAACCCUUGAUCUUAGUUGCCAGCAUUCAGUUGGGCACUCUAAGGUGACUGCCGGUGACAAACCGGAGGAAGGUGGGGAUGACGUCAAAUCAUCAUGCCCCUUAUGACCUGGGCUACACACGUGCUACAAUGGACAGAACAAAGGGCAGCGAAACCGCGAGGUUAAGCCAAUCCCACAAAUCUGUUCUCAGUUCGGAUCGCAGUCUGCAACUCGACUGCGUGAAGCUGGAAUCGCUAGUAAUCGCGGAUCAGCAUGCCGCGGUGAAUACGUUCCCGGGCCUUGUACACACCGCCCGUCACACCACGAGAGUUUGUAACACCCGAAGUCGGUGAGGUAA